This 383-nucleotide RNase P RNA is filed under the name Nitrospinaceae bacterium. RNAcentral describes it as "RNase P RNA component class A". It matches the Rfam family "Bacterial RNase P class A". Rfam says of the family: Ribonuclease P (RNase P) is a ubiquitous endoribonuclease, found in archaea, bacteria and eukarya as well as chloroplasts and mitochondria. Its best characterised activity is the generation of mature 5'-ends of tRNAs by cleaving the 5'-leader elements of precursor-tRNAs. Cellular RNase Ps are ribonucleoproteins. The record is from RNAcentral. Lineage: Bacteria; Pseudomonadati; Nitrospinota; Nitrospinia; Nitrospinales; Nitrospinaceae.
GAAGUAAACCGGGUGAUCGCUGUUCCGGCUUUUAGUCGGGAGAGAGGAAAGUCCGGGCUCCACAGAGCAGGAUACUCCGUAACGCGGAGUGGGGGUGACCUCAAGGAAAGUGCAACAGAAAGGACACAGCCUACCCGUUAGAAGUGCAAACUUUUAGCGGCGGCAAUGGUGAAACGGUGAGGUAAGAGCUCACCAGUACCGCCGGUGACGGUGGUAGCUUGGCAAACCCUAUCCGGAGCAAGAUCAAAUAGGAAAGUGCUUGAGGGCGGCUCGCCCGAUACUUUCGGGUUGAUUGCUCGAGCCUGUCGGCAACGGCAGGCCUAGAUUGAUGAUCACCUCUCCUUUCGGGGAGAACAAAACCCGGCUUAUGGUUUGCUUCGACC